This 72-nucleotide transfer RNA is filed under the name Podarcis lilfordi (Lilford's wall lizard). It matches the Rfam family "tRNA". From Rfam's summary of the family: Transfer RNA (tRNA) molecules are approximately 80 nucleotides in length. The record is from Rfam by way of RNAcentral. Lineage: Eukaryota; Metazoa; Chordata; Lepidosauria; Squamata; Lacertidae.
GGCUCGUUGGUCUAGGGGUAUGAUUCUCGCUUAGGGUACGAGAGGUCUCAGGUUCAAAUCCCGGAUGAGCCC